CCGCAAUGGGCGAAAGCCUGACGGAGCAACGCCGCGUGAGGGAUGAAGGCCUCUGGGCUGUAAACCUCUUUUAUCAAGGAAGAAGAUCUGACGGUACUUGAUGAAUAAGCCACGGCUAAUUCCGUGCCAGCAGCCGCGGUAAUACGGGAGUGGCAAGCGUUAUCCGGAAUUAUUGGGCGUAAAGCGUCCGCAGGCGGCCCUACAAGUCUGCUGUUAAAAAGUGGAGCUUAACUCCAUCAUGGCAGUGGAAACUGUUGGGCUCGAGUGUGGUAGGGGCAGAGGGAAUUCCCGGUGUAGCGGUGAAAUGCGUAGAUAUCGGGAAGAACACCAGUGGCGAAGGCGCUCUGCUGGGCCAUCACUGACGCUCAUGGACGAAAGCCAGGGGAGCGAAAGGGAUUAGAUACCCCUGUAGUCCUGGCCGUAAACGAUGAACACUAGGUGUCGGGGGAAUCGACCCCUCCGGUGUGUAGCCAACGCGUUAAGUUUC
Molecule: ribosomal RNA, 487 nt
Filed under: uncultured bacterium
Lineage: Bacteria
Description: bacterial SSU rRNA
Rfam family: Bacterial small subunit ribosomal RNA
Source: RNAcentral